GACGAACGCUGGCGGCGUGCUUAACACAUGCAAGUCGAACGGAAAGGCCCUGCUUUUGUGGGGUGCUCGAGUGGCGAACGGGUGAGUAACACGUGAGUAACCUGCCCUUGACUUUGGGAUAACUUCAGGAAACUGGGGCUAAUACCGGAUAGGAGCUCCUGCUGCAGGGGGGGGUUUGGAAAUUUUCGGCGGUUGGGGAUGGACUCGCGGCUUAUCAGCUUGUUGGUGGGGUAGUGGCUUACCAAGGCUUUGACGGGUAGCCGGCCUGAGAGGGUGACCGGCCACAUUGGGACUGAGAUACGGCCCAGACUCCUACGGGAGGCAGCAGUGGGGAAUAUUGCACAAUGGGCGGAAGCCUGAUGCAGCAACGCCGCGUGCGGGAUGACGGCCUUCGGGUUGUAAACCGCUUUCGCCUGUGACGAAGCGUGAGUGACGGUAAUGGGUAAAGAAGCACCGGCUAACUACGUG
Molecule: ribosomal RNA, 468 nt
Filed under: uncultured bacterium
Lineage: Bacteria
Description: partial 16S ribosomal RNA
Rfam family: Bacterial small subunit ribosomal RNA
Source: RNAcentral